CAUUAUAUCGUCAUACUGCUCCAUCAUAAUAUAAUAUGAUGGAGAAGUGUUAUGAUAUAAUGAUGGAGCAGUAUGAUGAUAUAAUG
Pelobates cultripes (western spadefoot toad) is the source of this 86-nucleotide non-coding RNA. Lineage: Eukaryota; Metazoa; Chordata; Amphibia; Anura; Pelobatidae. The record is from the annotation of a GenBank genome assembly.